GACCUUUCAUGAUUCUGACUGUCAUACUUCUGGACUACAUAAAGCUCUUCUUAGAAAUUUCUUAUGCAAUAUAGAGGUGAAUCUCGGGAACACUAUGAGGGUGCAAUGAGCACUGUAUGCAAGAAAGAUCUGUGGAUUGUAUGGUAACUGAUCGUAUAAAUCCUUAUAGUUGCAGAAGGAUAUAAAUAUUAACCAAAGUUUUACUUAAUCCCUAUUCUGUUACUUAAUCAGUGUUUAACUUGGCAUAAAAUUGGCUUUGUUGGCACCUUUUCUGUUUCCAUUACUCUCAGCAUUUCUGCCUUUCUAUUUUUCCAGAAAGUCUCCUGGCACUGGUACCAAGACUGAUUUGUCUUUUUUCCAUGACCUUGCUUCCAAGGCCAGUUGAAAGACUAGCGAAAACACAAGCAGGGUAGCUCUGUCCUGCUGCUGUUACCAUGUCAGCUAGGAUCACCAGGAAUAUGCCAGGAAUAAAAGCUCUGUUCAGUCUGCACAGCUCUUGAUUGAAGCUUAAUUUCAGAAGACAGAAGCUAUGGAAACACAUUACCAAUUCUUUCCUCUAACUCUUUAUACAUAUAUUUACUUUAAAAAAUUGAAAAAGAUCAAGAAACACACACACACCAAAGAAAACCCAACAAAUCUAACCCCCCAAAAGAAACCCCAAAUGCUACAAUUGGUGAUUAUGAGAUUAAAAAACCUCAGAAUAUGAGAGCUGUUCCAAAGGUAACAUUUCCAAUUUUAUUAUGUUGGCCCAUGACAUCAGAGGUGGAUGGUGGUGGUACAGCAGUAGAGAUUGAACCUUCCCACCGAUAUUUCUUUACAUUUUGUUGCCAUGUGACUGAUGGUAGUAGAGGGGCAGUCUCACAAAAUGGCAUCUGACAUGGAAGUGCAUAUGAAGAAAAGCAACAUGAAGAAACAUGAAAAACAGCCAUGUUCUAGAUAGUCAUGCAGUUUUAUGGCUGCAGUAUGCUGGCUCUUGUUCAUAAUUGGUAAAAAAAAGCAUAGCUAAUGGUGAUGACUGCAUUGAAAAAUAGUAGUUUGUAGCCUUGAAUUUGCUCUAUCAAAUAAUGUUAUUGUGCUCUUUGUAUCUGUUUUUGUUUCUUUAAGAGUGACAUAUAUAUUUAAAAUUUUAGGGCUCAGAAAAUCCUCUUACUUUUAAGCAUGAAAAGGAGUAGGCAUUGGCUUCCAAAUAGUGACAAAAACAUGGUGCUGUCUAACAAGAUGUUUCAUUCCAUCUGAGAUCUAAGCCAUCCUUUGGAGAUGUCUAUCAAUGCACAUUAACUAUACAUGCAUUCCAGCAUGAUUACGCUCCAACUUGGAAACCUCAUUUUGAUGCCUUAUUUAUAUGAGAUGAUUCUUGAACUCUUCACUCAAUCCUUCUCUAGAGGGAGCUGGUGAUAAAGCUGUUACUGUCUUUGCUUAUGACAGAGUUAUUAUUGUUUUCAUCCUAGGAUCUUCAGAUAUAUGCUACUCAUUUUCUGUGGUCUGUACUUGUAGCACUGUAAUUCAGAUGUCAUUUUUUAAAUAUAUGAAAUCUCACUGUUUCUGCAGAACACUGCGUGCACACUCCUCUUGUCUUUUACUACUUUAUAAUUUUAGUUGAUAUCUCUAAGUGGAAUAAGUUGCUUUGCAUUAUUUGGUUAUUUUGCAAAAGUUACAUUAAAAAAACAUUUUUGAUAAUAAAUAAUCAGAUAUGAUGUGAAUGAUGAAUGAU
RNAcentral lists this long non-coding RNA (1711 nucleotides) under Numida meleagris (helmeted guineafowl). RNAcentral's name for it is "lncRNA (ENSNMEG00000015031.1)". The record is from RNAcentral. Lineage: Eukaryota; Metazoa; Chordata; Aves; Galliformes; Numididae.